This 317-nucleotide long non-coding RNA is filed under the name Manihot esculenta (cassava). RNAcentral's name for it is "long non-coding RNA (MESC_LNC010288)". The record is from RNAcentral. Lineage: Eukaryota; Viridiplantae; Streptophyta; Magnoliopsida; Malpighiales; Euphorbiaceae.
GUAAAGGAUGCUAGCAUAAAGGAACUCUCUAAAAACAUUCCGUGGGGAAUAGCAUGAGCCCCGAGACGGACCAGAGACAGUUAUGUGAUUUCUUUGUGUUAUGACGCAUUUCAUGAGAGCAUGUAAUUAAUGAACUGUUUUCUAUGUUUCUACUCACUGGGCUUUUUAGCUCACCCCUCUCCCCUAACCCCAGUGUUGCAGGUUUAAGUCAGAGCUCAGAAGUCAGCAGGGUAAAGAUAUAGUGACGUGUGUUUGUAAUGUGGUAGUUUAUGUUUACGUUUCAGUUUAGUAGUUUUAGAAGUGGACAUGUAAUAUAA